CUUGCUUCAAACCAUGUGACGUAUGACUUAUAAAACGGAAACUUUCAGUUCUUGAAUGAAACACUCCUAUCUGUUCAUAAUCCAAUCAGAUGGGUCACAGACACUAGCUGUCUCGAUUCUGACAAGUGACUGGCUGAGUAACGAGCAAGCAAGGAAGAGAGGUCGAAAUGAAAUGGGAGAACACUAUGAUCUGAUCGCUCCUGAUAAGGCCCUGCCUUGGGACCAGUCCAAGAAAAGGAUGGCGACCUAGAACUCAAGCCAGGAGCCUGACGGUCCUUUUCCAUUGUCAAGUUAGGGUCUGGUAGGAAACUCUGCAGCCUAUUUUUCUCUCCCCACUACUUGGGUCAAGCACUUCAAAUACCCAUUCAACUUGUGACUAUUCAAGCAGCGCUA
Molecule: long non-coding RNA, 393 nt
Organism: Corythoichthys intestinalis (scribbled pipefish)
Lineage: Eukaryota; Metazoa; Chordata; Actinopteri; Syngnathiformes; Syngnathidae
Exons: 3
Source: RefSeq, a predicted model, not a curated record